RNAcentral lists this ribosomal RNA (497 nucleotides) under uncultured bacterium. Its description in RNAcentral is "partial 16S ribosomal RNA". It matches the Rfam family "Bacterial small subunit ribosomal RNA", at positions 28 to 507 of the family's 1533-position model. The record is from RNAcentral.
GACGAACGCUGGCGGCGUGCCUAAUACAUGCAAGUAGAACGCUGAAGAGAGGAGCUUGCUCUUCUUGGAUGAGUUGCGAACGGGUGAGUAACGCGUAGGUAACCUGCCUGGUAGCGGGGGAUAACUAUUGGAAACGAUAGCUAAUACCGCAUAAAAUUGAUUAUUGCAUGAUAAUUAAUUGAAAGAUGCAACUGCAUCACUACCAGAUGGACCUGCGUUGUAUUAGCUAGUUGGUGAGGUAACGGCUCACCAAGGCGACGAUACAUAGCCGACCUGAGAGGGUGAUCGGCCACACUGGGACUGAGACACGGCCCAGACUCCUACGGGAGGCAGCAGUAGGGAAUCUUCGGCAAGGGGGGGAACCCUGACCGAGCAACGCCGCGUGAGUGAAGAAGGUUUUCGGAUCGUAAAGCUCUGUUGUAAGAGAAGAACGGGUGUGAGAGUGGAAAGUUCACACUGUGACGGUAUCUUACCAGAAAGGGACGGCUAACUACGUG